RNAcentral lists this ribosomal RNA (519 nucleotides) under uncultured eukaryote. Its description in RNAcentral is "bacterial SSU rRNA". It matches the Rfam family "Eukaryotic small subunit ribosomal RNA", at positions 1161 to 1698 of the family's 1831-position model. The record is from RNAcentral.
AGGGCACCACCAGGAGUGGAGCCUGCGGCUUAAUUUGACUCAACACGGGAAAACUCACCCGGCCCGGACACUGGAAGGAUUGACAGAUUGACAGCUCUUUCUUGAUUCAGGGGGGGGUGGUGGAUGGCCGUUCUUAGUUGGUGGAGUGGUUUGUCUGGUUAAUUCCGAUAACGAAGGAGACUCUAGCCUAUUAAAUAGAUAGUUGGCUUACAAACCCCGGCUAGACUUCUUAUAGGGACAUGCGGCGAUUCAGCCACACUAAACAGAGCAAUAACAGGUCUGUGAUGCCCUUAAAUGUCCGGGGCCGCACGCGCGCUACGCUGAAAUGAUCAGCGUGCAUUUUGAAACCUACUCUGUCAAGAGUGGGGAACCCAAUGAACCUUCUUCGGGAUUGGGAUAGGGGAUUGUAAUUAUUCCUCUUGAACGAGGAUAUCCCAGUGAGCGCGAAUCAUAUGUUUGCGCUGAUUACGUCCCUGCCCUUUGUACACACCGCCCGUCUCUACUACCUAUUGAAUGUUU